RNAcentral lists this ribosomal RNA (654 nucleotides) under uncultured archaeon. Its description in RNAcentral is "bacterial SSU rRNA". It matches the Rfam family "Archaeal small subunit ribosomal RNA", at positions 508 to 1160 of the family's 1478-position model. The record is from RNAcentral.
GCCUAAAGCGUCCGUAGCCUGUUCUAUAAGUUUCCGGUUAAAUCCACUAGCUCAACUAAUGGGCUGCCGAAAAUACUGUAGAACUAGGGAGUGGGAGAGGUAGACGGUAUUCGGUAGGAAGGGGUAAAAUCCUUUGAUCUAUUGAGGACCACCUGUGGCGAAGGCGGUCUACCAGAACACGUUCGACGGUGAGGGAUGAAAGCUGGGGGAGCAAACCGGAUUAGAUACCCGGGUAGUCCCAGCUGUAAACGAUGCAGACUCGGUGAUGCGCUGGCUUGUGGCCAGUGCAGUGCCGCAGGGAAGCCGUUAAGUUUGCCGCCUGGGAAGUACGUACGCAAGUAUGAAACUUAAAGGAAUUGGCGGGGGAGCACCACAAGGGGUGAAGCCUGCGGUUCAAUUGGAGUCAACGCCAGAAAUCUUACCCGAAGAGACAGCAGAAUGAAGGUCAAGCUGGAGACUUUACCAGACAAGCUGAGAAGUGGUGCAUGGCCGUCGCCAGCUCGUGCCGUGAGAUGUCCUGUUAAGUCAGGUAACGAGCGAGAUCCCUGCCUCUAGUUGCCACCAUUGCUCUCUGGAGCAGUGGGGCGAAUUAGCGGGACCGCCGCAGUUAAUGCGGAGGAAGGAAAGGGCUACGGCAGGUCAGUAUGCCCCGAA